CCUACGGGAGGCAGCAGUGAGGAAUAUUGGUCAAUGGGCGUAAGGCUGAACCAGCCAAGCCGCGUGAGGGACGAAGGUGCCAUGCAUCGUAAACUUCUUUUAUCAGGGAAUAAAGUCAGGCACGUGACCUGGUCUGUAUGUACUUUAAGAAUAAGCAUCGGCUAACUCCGUGCCAGCAGCCGCGGUAAUACGGAGGAUUCGAGCGUUUUCCGGAUUUAUUGGGUUUAAAGGGUGCGUAGGCGGCCUUUUAAGUCAGCGGUUAAAGGCCGGGGCUCAACCCUGGGAGUGCCGUUGAAACUGGGAGUCUUGAGAAUGUUUGAGGCAGGCGGAAUGCGUAGUGUAGCGGUGAAAUGCUGAGAUAUCGCGCAGAACCCCGAUUGCGAAGGCAGCAUGCC
Molecule: ribosomal RNA, 395 nt
Filed under: uncultured bacterium
Lineage: Bacteria
Description: partial 16S ribosomal RNA
Rfam family: Bacterial small subunit ribosomal RNA
Source: RNAcentral